This is a long non-coding RNA of Canis lupus familiaris (dog), 3286 nucleotides long. RefSeq lists it as uncharacterized. NCBI's taxonomy places the organism in Eukaryota, Metazoa, Chordata, Mammalia, Carnivora, Canidae. The transcript has 5 exons. The record is from RefSeq and is a predicted model, not a curated record.
GGUCCCGGGAGUACAGCUGUUGCCGGAGCUCUGUCUGCUGCUUUCGGAGACUUGCGUAAUGACACUCAGUUUGUCAAAGACUUCAUUCUCAUCAGAGGGCGGGAAGGAGAAAAACAGAAGGGUAUUGUGAUGAGGGUGACCCAAAAACUACGAGAGAGAGAGAAAGUUAAUGAUCAAAAUUGUCCAAAUUCUUUUUCUGGGCUUACACAGAUUUUAUACAAGACUCCUGGCUGGAGAGUGAUGCUUUAUUUACUUAUUUAUAUUUUUAAAUAAAAAAAAAAAGAUUUUAUUUAUUCAUGAGAGACACAGAGAGAAAGAGAGAGGCAGAGACACAGGCAGAGGGAGCCUGAUGUGGGACUCGAUCCCUGGACCCCGGGAUCAUGACCUGAGCCGAAGGCAGAUGCUCAACCACUGAGCCACCCAGGCGCCCCGAGAACGCUGGUUUAAAGCAUGUGACAAUCACAGCAGGAGAGUUCCUCAAAGAUUUAAAAAUAGAAUUAUCGCACGAUGCAGGAAUUUCACUUCCGAAUAUACACUCAGAAGAACCGAGAGCAGGGUCUCAAAGGAGGACUGGUACAGCCAUGUGCACAGCAGUGUGAUUUACGAAAGCCAGACGGCAGAAGCCGACCACAUGCCCAUCGACGCCGAAAUGGAUAAAUAAAAUGGGGUCCCUCCGUACAAGGGAAAAUUCACUGAGCCUUAAAAAGGAAUGAAUUUCUGACACAGGCUACACGGAUGAAGCUCGAGGAGGUCAUGCUGGGUGGAAUAAGCCAGACACAAAAGGACGAAUGUCAUAUGAUUCCACUCAGGUCCACCUACGCUCUCUAUCUUCAGGAUGAGGUGGAGACGGUCCCAAGGCUCCGCAGGUUCCCCUCUCCCCUCCUCUGUUCACCUGUAGCUUCACGUCGGCCGGUUGGCUCCCCUCUUAACGUAAUCUGCACACUCAGCCCUUUGAUGCCACUUACUUGAAGCCGCUGGCAGCCGCACUGCCCCUGGUGUCACCUCCCACCCCCUGGGUCUCGACCAGCUGAUGGAAGCGAGGGGAGGGGCAGGCAAGAGGAAUUAUGUCCAGAUUUCUGUUGCCCAAAGGAGGACAUGGGUAGGGGGCAGGAGGAGCCUCCGCAGAUCCUCGGAUCCAGGGGAUCUGUAAGAUCGGACUAGAGCCACCCUUGAUCCUCCCAGGAAAGGGCACAGGAAAGAAGAGCGGAGGAAGAUGUGCUGAGUCUCAGGAAUGCAAGGAUCAGGCUGGUCUCUGGGUGGGACACCCUGAAACCCCAUCUAGCUGUAUUGGAUAAACCCCCUGUGGCUUCAACUCAAAGUCUCCACCCCCACUAAGUCUCCCGAAAUUCCUAACUAUUCUCUGGCCGUGGUUAGUGGACCUUUUACAUCAUGCAUCAGGCUGGAGGAUUUCAUGAUGCAAUGAUCCCAGUCUGCAUGGUUGCCUGGCACUCACUUCCUUCAUCCUUCACUGCUCACCCCCCGCACCCCCCCCCCCAAGCACUUGCCCCAUUUCUCAGGUCAAUCACAGGGGCUGGCUCUGCAGGCAGGGCUGCAAAGUCUUCUAGCCUCACAGCAGGGGCUCCUUCCGAAGGCCCCCCCUUCACUACCCCCGCCCCGCCCGUCUCUGGCUUUGAUUUGCCUGGCGACACGUAACCCCAUCUGUCCUUUCCUGUCUGAGGGUCUCUGUGAUGGCGAGCCAGAAACCGAAGUAGCAGGUGAAUAGCUUUGCUUCCUGUUGGGUCUCUACUUACAAAACACCUUCUACCCGGGGCAAUGGGCCCACCCCCCUUUGUUCUUCCUGCUUCUCCAGAUCUCACAGAGGCCUCUUGGCCCAUUCUGGUUCUGCUGUCUCAGUCACCACUCUUGAUAGAAGGUUCUGGCCACUCUGAAACACCUGCCGGUGGUCAUGGUCUCACUGUGGAUGCUGUUUGGCCGAGACCAGCCCUCACGGUGGAGGUGCUUGUUCUGUAGCUUCCAGAACAGGAAGGGGGCUGGCCCGGCUCAGAGCAGAGUCCCAGAAGCUGUGCCAUACAGAAGGGAGGGGCUGAGGCCAAGGGACUGUGUCCUUCCCGGGGACAGUCUCUGCCAGCUGACUGGAUGGUCUGGGGACAAGGCCUGACACCAGCUGUCAUGACAAUGUGGUAACAGGACCAGAAGGGAAAGAAGUGGCGAGGCCUUGGUUGGGCAGAUGUGCUUCAGAGCCUGAGAAACCCAUGGCAGAGGGCAUGCUGGACAUCCUCUCCGAGGUACAGGACCGGCGAGCCUACCUCACCUUUCCUGAUGCUGAGAACCAGCACCACGCCAGGUGACAUCAGGCCAGACCAAGGGGCCCAAUGACGGCCAGCAUGGCCUGGAGUGGGCAACAUGUCUCGGGGACCCACUGAUGACACCACACACUGCACCACCCAGCAGCUGCCGGCCUGGAGGAGCAAUGGACUGACUGACUGGUAGUGCAGGAAGAGGGAACAACUUCAGUCUCAGAGGUCCCGCUCCAGCAGGUCCCUGUCGUCUAAGAGGUGUGGAUGCUGAGGCCUACCUCUUUCAGAUGCUGAGGCAGACAGUUCCUGGGGGAGAAGACGUGCUUGGUCCUCUUGUACAGGCACCACAGCAGGGCGGAGCAGCCGAGCAGCAGGAGGGCCACGCACACCGAGGCUGCCAGGACGAUGGCGACAGUCCAGGACGGGGCUGUGUCUGCGGGGACAACAGGAGGCCGCGUUAGGUCAGGUUCAGGUCAAGGACACGGCGGGGCACCUGACCUCAACACUGUCACCAUCGCAAUCCGGUGGGAGUCCCUGAAAACAGGGCUGGACGCUCAUCUCAGAAGGGGUGAGGAGGAAGCAUGGGGCACCUGCCCAAGGAUCCAGGGCUUUCCAGCGAGUGUCACCCCUUCCCAUCUUUUUCCAGCUUUGGUUUCUGGCACGACGGUGGACAUAUAAUACGCAAGAAUUGUGAGCUCUGAGCCGUGAGCCUCCCCAUUCUGGAAAAGCCUCUUUGGCCCCGAAGCAGAAGAGGGGGACCCUGGAGCCCCAAGCAAACACAUGCAGUGAAGUGUUUUGUGUUGCAAUUGGCAGAAGCUCUUGGCACCACGGCUGCGUCCACGCCGUGGCACUUAGAGACCUGCCCGAGCUCCAGCGUGCCCUCCAGGGGCCUAAGGCCACGCUGCGGGCACGACCCAGCACCCACCCUGGGUCUCCCUCUGGAAGAACACAAGGCUGCCCAGAGAACGUUCGCCAACACCUGGCCUUCCUUUCUUAGCGCUUCUGUUAUAAAGAGCUUAUGGACUUUU